Molecule: long non-coding RNA, 1346 nt
Organism: Papaver somniferum (opium poppy)
Lineage: Eukaryota; Viridiplantae; Streptophyta; Magnoliopsida; Ranunculales; Papaveraceae
Exons: 3
Source: RefSeq, a predicted model, not a curated record
UGUUAGAAAAAUCGAAACUUAGGGUUUCGUUGUUUUUUUUUCUUCUUUUCAGUAGAAAUCACUAACAAAGUUCAUUAUUUUGAAGGAUUUUUGAUCUAAUAAAGGUAAAAUGGUGGUUCACCAUUAUCAUAGAAUUGGAGUUAAUGGUCUUGAAUUAAACAGGAAGGAAAAAUUUUCCAGUUAUAAAGUUUAUUUUGUUGAAGGAAAGAUGAAAUAAUCUUUUAGGAAGAGUUUCAGAUGGCUUAAAGACAGUCAUUUUCAGUGAUUGUGGGAUUUUAAGUGGUGGUGGAUGCUGGUUGUGGACGGUGGCUGGUAGUGGGGGUGGAUGUUAGUGGUGGGUGAUGCUUCUAGGGGUGGUGGAUGCUGGUGCUCAGUGGUUGGUGAGGAAAGCUAACGUUCUUGUUGAUUAAAAGUUUAUUAUCUUUCUGCAUUUUUUUUAUGUGUGUUUAAGGCUUGUGAAGAGAGUAGUAUUGCCUUCUCUUUUUCCUGUAAGUAUUGUCAAUAUCGUAUAUCUUUCCAUUUUGAUUGAAGCAGAUGUUCUACUAUAUUCUAUUCAACUGGUAGAUUGUCGAGUGUUGCUGCAUAGUACUCUUUCGAUCCAGUAAGGAAAUCAUCGCACUUGAGUGCAUCCUAUGUUCCAUGGUUUCUUUGAUAAGCUCAUCGGGUUAUUUUUCUUAAUUCUUUCAUGGACCGGUUUCUUUGACGCUUAUUAUGGAGUCAUUUGUCAACGUAGACUUGUUUGUCUGUGUAGUUCAGUUGUUUAUGGAAAUGCCUAUGAGAAAUAUAAUUCACUGUUGAUGUUUCACUUGAUAGUGCACUAUGUGCAGGUGGUGGUAAAAAUGGUGCGACUAUAGAGGACAUUUUGAUUCAGAAUUUCCCAUACAGGACUCCAAACAACUGAACUGGAAAAAAAGGUAUGAAGCUGGUAAUGUUGUGGAUGGAUUGGUUCAUUACAUCAUGGCGUGGUGACAAGUGCGGAAAAAGGAUCGAGGUACCUUGUACCAUUUAUGUUAGUUUUUCAAUUUAGAGUAUAUCAGAGGCUAGUUUAAACUUGGGUAGGUCCUGUAGUGUGCCAACAUCUUACACACUCCUAUUAUUUUCUUGUUGAUCUAAUCAUUAUGUAUUAGUCAUAAUUGGUAUGUUAACUCAAUCAUAGUUCAGCUCUGGUAUUCCGAGAUUAAUUAUCUUCAAGUCCUGCGAUGUAUUAGUCGUCUCCUUUAAUUGUACAAGUUCAAUAAAGCAUUUACUAUGUCUAUUUCGGAUCUCUUGUAGAGAGUGUAAUACAUGUGUAUGUAAUCCAUGUUAUUCCAUUUUCAUAUGAAAAAUUGGGUCUUUUAGUUGAUCUA